Molecule: RNA transcript, 4917 nt
Organism: Gallus gallus (chicken)
Lineage: Eukaryota; Metazoa; Chordata; Aves; Galliformes; Phasianidae
Gene: SLC51B
Gene name: solute carrier family 51 beta subunit
Exons: 7
Source: RefSeq, marked validated
GCCAUUUUGGGGGCGGGGGGAAAGUAGCCUGUCUGUCAGUCCGUGUGCUGCAGGGGCAAUGCCCCCCUGGCAGUGCUGACUGUGUAUUGGCUGCUCGGCCCCAGUGCAAAGAUAAUGUGUGGGGUAGGAAGGGGUGUUGACACUGCAGCCACUGUUUUCCCCUGUCUCCAGCGCAGUGUUCAAUAAGCUAAUGGCUGUGUCCUGCUCUGCUCAACUUUGUUCUAACAGUGAUUAUAGUUUGAAGAAUGUUUUCUUUGUAAACCACGUGGUCAGGAUAAUUGCUUAAAGAACUGUCUUCUCCCAUAACAUAAGAACAAAAAUAUUGUAUCAUUUUGCUGAGAACAUUCUUUCCCCACUUAGGAUGGUGGUUUACUCAUGUUGAACUUCAUUUAAUGCAUAUUGCAUCCCAAAUUCCUUGUACAUCUCAAUCACGAUACAUCCCAGUGUCUUUGACACUAGGAAUUUCUAAAAUAGAGCACAUGAGAACCUGGAAAUAAUUUAUAUAUGCCAGGGAAAAAAGAAAGAAGAUGUGGAAAUAGAGGGCAGGUGAUGGCAGAAACGGUUCACCAGGGAAGGAUCAUUAGGGAAAAUGAGAUUUUGUGCCACAUAGCAUGGUGCUGUGUGGUUUUACUCUCUCUUUCAUAUUUGUCCAUUGUGAGGGUGUUAUUUUUCACUGUGGCAUAGAAGAUGCCUCCAUCUCCAUUGGUAGAAGCAGAGGAGAAUUAAUGAGAAAGUGUACAGGAGAAAAGUAAAAAGAAGCCAAGUGAUCCUAACAGCAUCAGUUAUGCACCCUGACAAAAUGAAAGUAGCGAAUAGAGAAAUAAUUUUCUAGUUGAGCAUCAACACAUGAAAUGUGUGUGCUCCAGAAAGCUUAAUUCUGUGUUAGUUGUGGAAUUCUCUGUUACUUGUGGAGCCCGUUAAAAAUCCUCAGUUUCACAUUUCUUCAGGGUCACAUUUGGGCCUCUGCAAUUCCAGCCAGCUCCUCAGGGUGUACGGAUGAAAGAACAUCGUGAAAAAUGGUGACAAAGAUAAACAAGAGGGUAACAAGGAUGAAGGAAUGGCAUCUGUCCAAGAAGAGAUUAAAGCAACCAGAGUAUUUCUGCUUGGAAAAUAUGUAGGAAAGAGGCAGUCUAGCAACCUGACCAUAAAUAAUAUGAGGCUGGUAAACAAGGAACAAUUAGUUGUUGCACAAUAACUGUGAGAUUACAAAAAAUAUUAUCAGGCCCCCACUGGUAUCAGGCUCCACAGCAGAGGAAGCAGUGUUCCACACAGUGUGUAAUCUGACCAUGUAAAUUAUCUCAGAAUCUGAGAAUAUUCAAGGUUCCCAGAAGCAGUUCAAACUCAGUGUUAGUUCUUGCUGUUGGAUCCCAGCACAGUUGGUGCUGGCAGUGCCUAUGGCACAUCUGUAGUGUGUAAGGAGCUUCGCUUUCUGCCUGUCAAGGAGCUUAAACCUUGGAGAAGUAUUCUCAGUUUUGGACAGUAGUUAAAGCUCUUGGACCAUAGUGCAAGUCCAUGCUGAGUUUUUGCCAGAUGUACUCGUGGAAAUAAUUAAUGUUUCAUUUGAAAUACGUUUAUGAAGUGGACUUAAAUUCACUUCAAUAUACUUACUCCCAAGUAAUCCAUCCUCAGCUCUAAUAUAAAUGUGUAAUUCAGUCUACUUUAUGCCUUGCCCACAGUGUACAUGAAGUUUUAACUGACAAUUAUCUGAAUGUGAAUUUUUAUAGCAGAAUGAAAGCAAUGACCUGAUGUUUUGUGAAAAAAAAAAAAAAUAACAGCUUGCAAAUCUUGCUUUCUGGCUGGAUUUGAACUCUGCUUUUUUUUUACAUGGGGGGAAAAAAAAAAGCCCUAAACAUUUAGUUAUUCUGUAACCAGGCAUUUCAGGUCAAAGACCACAGAAGGGUUCAAAAAAGAUAAGCAAAAUUAAUACAUCAAGGUCAGAUGAGCUCUUCUUAAGAGGAGUGAAGACAAAUCCAAUGAGGAAGCAGAACACAAAUCAAUGUCCUAUCUACACUUUGCUUCCUUGCCAAAGACACUGAAAGAGUCUCCACAGAAGUAAAUAGAUAUCUCCCAUUAGAGUGCCAGUGUUGUCAAUGGGAAGCAUGAAAUAAAACACCUCACUGCUGAAGAGAUUGCUUCUGAGUGCCUCCCCGGAGGAUUACUAGGAACAAGAGCCUGCUGUAACCAUAGGGGAACUGGUUUUAUUUCCAUGUUCAGUGUGCUAAGUCCUAAAGGCACCUUGUCUAUGAGCCUACAUUCUGCCUCUUUUUGUGGCGGACAAGGGUUUGAAACAGGAGCUGCUUUCCUGCUACACUGAUACGUUUCACUGUCCCAUGCCACCCCACUCUGGCUGUUAGGUUUGGAGAAGCAGUACAGCAGGGCAUCAGGGGUCUCUCUGUGCAAGAUGAGCUAUUGGGCACCUCUUACCUUGCACAUUUUUGAAUGUGUGCGAGGGAGUUUGGUUGUGUCAUUUGUGGGACCACUUGCUGGCUUGUCACUGUGGGCCUGGCAUUAAUUAAAGGCUCACAGGGAUGCUACGGAAACACCUCUCCUAGCGUGAAGGCGUUUUUUAAACAGUCCACCCUGAAAAUGAGGAGGAACAAGAGGAUGAUUUUACAGCAUGGUGUGACAUCCUGCCCUGACCUGUCUCCCUCUGCGGAAGGGAGAUCUCGUUUCCCAUGAGAACAUGGUUCUGAGUGAGAGCUCUGACCCGAGCCCUGCCAGGACUGACACUGAACAGCAGAACCAUCUCCCUCUGGGAGAUGCAUGUCUGCAGGAUGAAGUUUCACAGGGGCAGCCAGAGGAAACUCUCAGUUCAGAUGUUGAGUGGGAUUCAAAAGAUUAAUCACUCUGGAACAGGGCUGCAGUGCCAAAGAUGCUUUGUUCCAGGCUGGAAAACAACCAGGACAGGACGAGCAUAUGGAGACUGUGCCCAUCUCCCAUUAAGCUUUAACUAAGCAGUGCCAGCUGUGUGCGCAAAGCUUGGUGUGCCAUAUGCAGCUCCAUCCACAGGUCACGCGGUGCAGUAAGGCUGUGUUGAAAAGGAAUCAUCCUUCCCAGAUGUGGCCGGCACUGUGAAAUGCUACACAUCAGCCUUGUCAGGCUGCAAAGCCUCUUAGCAGCCUGUUGACUUUACUAACUCACUUACCAGUGCCUGUAAACAAGGGUGGCACAAUCUCUUGCCUGUAAAACCAGUUGGUAUAUCUAAGAUGCUCUGAGAGCCUCAGAAUGACCAUUUGCUUAAAAAAAAAAAAAAAAAAAAAAAAAGGAAGCCUAAUAUCUGAUUUAUCAGGACACAUUCCUCUGAUGCAACUAGGGCUGAGCCAGCAGAACGAACAGUAUCACUUUUUUAACCCCAGGGUAACCGAUUGCAGCGUCAUUUACUCAGCGUGCUCUUUUAAUACUGAUUAUGCCAAUAGCCUGAGCAAAUAAACUGAAAGUUCCCGACAGCUCAUCUUUGGGGAAAGGUGACUCAGAAGCAGAAUGAAUCACAGCGCGUAGCACUCCGAGAGGACAGGACCUGGGCGCUUGUAGGAAGGAGCUGACGGGCACUCGGGGAGACAUCUUCACACUGUGGGGCUUGAAGACAUGGCAUAUGCACACUGAAGAAACACUGGCAAAGUCGUGAUCCAUCCCAGCUGCGCACAGAAAAUAUGAAGUUACUCUGGAUAAUCUCAUUUUUCCUGCUGCAAGACACUGAAGCUUUCCUGCUGCAGAAUGCUAAAAUCAAGCAGUGUUUACAAGCAAGCCCAACAGAUGGGAAUUUAUUGCUGUCGGACUGUAAUUCAGCAUCAGAUUUCCAGGACUGGUUUUGCAAGGAGAUUCUUUGAGGAAUCAUGGCACGCAGAGCUGCCUCUUAGUGGUGGAAGCCAACAGAGUGCAGACAAGUCCCUGUGACAGUGUGGGCUUCAUGGGCUGGGACUGCUCAAAUUUGCUGCUCUCCUCCUCUGGGCAGCAGCCAGGGCUACCUGGUGGCGAGCAAGAAAGGAGUCGCACUCGAUAAUGUGAGAGGUCUCAAGGCUCAAUGGCAAAGUGCUGCAGAGAGGAGUGUGUGUGAGGAGAAAGCAGCACAAUACAGAUACUUACCCGCAGCCCUUGCUAGCACACACGUGUAUGACCACACGGCAUACAAUGAUGUCCUUGUGCUGGGUAUGGAGCCAGAAAAGCUGGAGGAGCUGCUGUGGUUCUUCCGCAGAGAAGACCCAUCAGCAUGGAAUUACUCCAUCCUUGUGCUUUCCUUCGUGGUCGCAAUUUUGGGUUUUGUUCUUCUGGCCAUUAACAUUUCACGAAACAGGAAAAGGAAGAUCCACAAGUAUAAAGAAGCAGCGCAAGCUGCCCAGAAUUCUGGGCUGGAAAGCAAGCAAGCCCUGCUCACAGUGUCAGAAUACAGCCCAGAAAGCCUGCAGAAGCCAGAGCCACUGCCACAGGAUGAGAGGUCAGGAGAGGUGCUGGUUCAGUGGAAGGAUGGGACCGUCACCACUCUGUACAAAGAGACGGCAGACGAUGCCAUGUAACAGCUGAUGUCACACCACCUUAGGGCAAUUAGGCCCUAAGGAGCCUAUCAGAAUGCCUCAAUUCACAGCGACUGAAGAUUGAAAAGUUGAAAAAAUGCAUUUUAGCCUGGGGGGAAAACAAAAAGGGAAAAAAAAAGGAAAAAAAAAGAAAACAGCAGAGCUGUGUCAGCAGAAGUGGCUCUGGUCUCAGAGGCAAACCCUGCCUCCCUGCUGCAGCCCCAUUUGGCUGAUCUUUACCCCCUUGUUCAGCUGCCGCCUGCUGGGGUGGGAGGAGAGGUGGGGGCUCACAGCCAGGGAGCGCGCCCCUCACCUCUAGACAUGGAAACACUGACACCGAAGCAGGGGAGCACUUGUUCUUUUCAAAUGUUACCUUUAUUAAAAUAUUUUCCAAAGUGCUUGAUCAAAA